This 1141-nucleotide long non-coding RNA is filed under the name Lathyrus oleraceus (garden pea). RNAcentral describes it as "Pisum sativum (pea) long non-coding RNA (PSAT_LNC033446)". The record is from RNAcentral. Lineage: Eukaryota; Viridiplantae; Streptophyta; Magnoliopsida; Fabales; Fabaceae.
CCUGACAUAUUUUUAAACAUCGUAAACGGUGCCAUAUGUGGUAACUCGAUAAGUUUCGUACAAAACCUCCUUAAAACAUUUCAUAAUGAUUUUUAAUGUAGAAAAUACUUUUUACAAUUUUUAAGGGGCUAAAAAUUAUAUUCUACUUGAUAAAUGCGUAAGGAGGAAGUUAUGACAAAAAUAGUCAUAUUUCUCUAUGUUAUGAUGAUAUUUAUUAUUUCAAAGAAUGUUGAAGGUAAACAAUUUUUUAUCCUUUUCAAUUUUUUUAUUUACUGUGCACACAAUUUUGUUUUAACAUGUUUUUCAUUUUUUUUUCAGUAAUAGCGGCGAUUAUUAGUUGUCUUGAGGAUUCUGAUUGUCCACAGAAAUUUUGUCCUCCUCCGACUGUAUCGAGAUGUAUUUACGACGAGUGUAGUUGUGUUAUUAAAACCAUAAAAUAUCAUGAUCGGUAUGUCUUUUCUUAUAUGAACUCAUUAUUACGUGUGAUGAAGGGAUGAAAACAUUGAUUUAUUUAACAAGUACUAAUAAUAUUAUUAUUUUAGAAAAUGUUUUAACAAUUCCAUAAGGUCUUAAAACUAUUUAAUGACUUAAGAAGAAUAUGAGAUUUAUAAAUUAUAAAGUGAAAAAAUCAUGUUCUACUACUUUAUACAUCCUUAGGGUUAGGGGAUAAAUAUAAUUAAAAAAAUUUAGUUAUAUUAUUUUUAUUUUCAUAUUUCAUGUUGCAACAAAUAUUAACAAUAAGCCAUUUAUUUAUCUUUUUAAAUUUUUUUAAUUACUUCGUACAUAACAUUUUAUUCUGUUACAGUAACAAUCUUUUAAUUCAAUUUUUUCAUUUCAGGGGAUACUAGAUGUUUUAACGAUUAUGAUUGUCCGCAAAGUAUGUGUCUAUCUUCAUUUAAUAUGAGAUGUAUGUAAGAGAAGUGUGCAUGAGUUAGAAUGUCAUAUACUCAAUAAAUAUCAAACUCAAUAGAGUAAAACCAAUGCCAUGAUAGAAUAUUCAGUGAGUUAUUCAUUUAGCCGUUGUAUAAUGUGUGUUUAACAUACUUUCACAAUUUUUAUAAGAAUUUAUUACUAUAUGUUAAUGAAUCUAAAUAAAAACUCUCUCUCUCUCUCUCUCUCUCUCUCUCUCUCUCUCUCUCUC